CAUUAGAUGGCUGAAUGUAAGUACUGGUCUCUUAAACCACUAAAUAGAUGAUUAACACCUUCUUCUAAUGA
This 71-nucleotide transfer RNA is filed under the name Byctiscus populi. RNAcentral describes it as "tRNA-Lys". Lineage: Eukaryota; Metazoa; Arthropoda; Insecta; Coleoptera; Attelabidae. The record is from RNAcentral.